Molecule: long non-coding RNA, 1029 nt
Organism: Pogoniulus pusillus (Red-fronted tinkerbird)
Lineage: Eukaryota; Metazoa; Chordata; Aves; Piciformes; Lybiidae
Exons: 6
Source: RefSeq, a predicted model, not a curated record
CAGCCAUUGAGUCCUUUGGAUACAGCUCCAGAGAGUGUCCCUAGCCUGCGUCUUCAAGUAACACCUUGAGGCCAGACCCUUCACGAGCCCAAAUACCUGCUCUCCCCAGGUAGCAGUUAUCCUCUGAAACUAGACCAGGCUGCAGACAGAAGGAAUUGGAUGCCAAUCAACAUGGGAGCACUUCAAUGAGACAAGAUAUUUUCCACUCUGUUAUCACCAUUUGGGAUUUGCUGCUCCAGCCAUAUGUUCCCCAGCUGAUGUUAGUCACCCUCUGCUGUGCCACCACCAGCUGGCAUGCAGCUGACACUUGGCAUCCCUUAGAAAGGGAGGAGAUGAUGUCAUGGAAGAGCUCAAGGUGCAAAGGAUGGAGUAAGAGGAUGAAUGAUAGUGCAAUCUCCUGCACAUCUCUCCUGGUUCCUUUUAGUUGGACUUUUCAGCUGGGGCUAAUCAAGGCAGUUCCUCAUGGGCUGGAGGCCAGCAGGGAUGAUUUCCCUUAAGACAGGAUUUUGCUCAGAUGUCCCUCAUUGGUUAUGUCUUUCCCACAUCUGGAUGAGAAGCACUGUGCCAACAACCUGUCUGCCUAGCAGCUACAGUGAGGGCCUCAGUGUUAUCACUGCACAUGCAGAAAUGUCACUGACUUGGAAACAAUGUGGAAUUACAAACAACAUCAAAGAGAUCAUCUGAAGUACAUCCUUCAGAAAGUGCACACAAAGAGCCAGUUGCUUUGUCUUUGUGGUUUGGGGUAGAGCUGACUCACUGUAAACUUGUGCAGUCACCAGUGGCACCUCUGUGCCACUUUAGAAGGCUGAAGUAGCUCUCUCACAUAACUUCUUUUCCCCAGGAGUGCUGAUAACCCUUCCCUUGCAAAAGGCUUUAUCUGGACCUGAGAACAUAUAUUGCACAGGCAAAUGGUUACAGCAUUUACCUUUCUCACUGGUAAAUCUCCUCUGGGGUGUUUGGUUCUUGCAUUGGGAGUCCCAGCCCCAGCAUGCCAGUCUAGCAGGGCAGAGGGAUGGAGGAACACUCAGA